Rhinopithecus roxellana (golden snub-nosed monkey) is the source of this 1481-nucleotide RNA transcript. It is a transcript of the gene named ribosome production factor 2 homolog pseudogene, with no coding region annotated. The transcript has a single exon. The record is from RefSeq and is a predicted model, not a curated record. Lineage: Eukaryota; Metazoa; Chordata; Mammalia; Primates; Cercopithecidae.
AAUCGCCGGGUGCACAUGCAUCCAUGUAGUUAAGAGUUGCAGGGAGCAGUAGCGAUGGACACUCUGGAUCGAGUUGUAAAGCUCAAAACGAAAAGAGCCAAGAGAUUCCUUGAGAAGAGAGAACCGAAACUCAAUGAAAAUAUUAAAAAUGCCAUGCUGAUUAAAGGGGGAAAUGCAAAUGCAACAGUGACACAAGUACUUAAAGAUGUGUAUGCACUGAAAAAACCAUAUGGUGUACUGUAUAAAAAGAAAAAUAUUACAAGACCUUUUGAAGAUCAGAUAUCACUGGAAUUCUUUUCAAAGAAGUCAGAUUGUUCUUUAUUCAUGUUUGGCUCCCAUAACAAGAAGCAGCCAAAUAAUCUAGUAAUAGGUCUUAUGUAUAACCACCAUGUGCUGGACAUGACUGAAUUAGGUAUUGAGAAUUUCAUCUCUCUAAAAGACAUUAAGAACAGUAAAUGUCCUGAGGGAACAAAACCCAUGCUAAUAUUUGCUGGUGAUGAUUUUGAUGUAACAGAAGGUCAUAGAAGACUACAAAGUCUUCUUAUUGAUUUCUUCAGAGGCCCCACAGUAUCAAAUAUCCGCCUGGCUGGAUUAGAGUAUGUUCUGCACUUCACUGCACUGAAUGGGAAGAUUUACUUUCGAAGCUAUAAGUUGCUGUUGAAGAAAUCUGGUUGCAGAACACCACAGAUUGAAUUGGAAGAGAGGGGACCCUCAUUGGAUCUGGUUCUGAGGAGGACACACCUGGCAUCCGAUGACCUUUAUAAAUUAUCUAUGAAAAUGCCAAAAGCUCCCAAGCCAAAUAAGAAGAAAAAUAUCUCCCAUGAUACUUUUGGUACAACUUAUGGAAGGAUUCAUACGCAGAAGCAAGACCUAAGCAAACUACAAACCAGGAAAAUGAAGGGGUUGAAGAAGCGACCUGCAGAAAGGAUAACAGAAGACCAGGAGAAAAAGUCAAAAAGAGUUAAAAAAAAUUGAUGGAACUUAGCCAGCCACUCCUGUUUCAUUGUGUUCUACUUAAGAGAAUUAUCAAGCGUCAACCCAUUCAGAGUUUCUUAUGAGAUCUUAUUAUAUAUUUUUAUAACAUGAUAAUUUUACAAUAUUAUGAACAGUAAUAUGCUAGUAUUAAGUGUAAAGUAAGCCUUUUAUUUGAGACAUUACACUCUGGUGUGCCAUUUUCUCUUGUGAUAUCCCCUGCCCUCCACAAAUUCUUCUUUCUCAUUGGGUGAAUGGGUGGGAGAGGAGGGAUCUCCAUAACCAAUGGAAUUUUUUUGAAUUUCUGGCCUUAGCUAAAGGAAGACAUAGAAAGCAGAAAUGACCUGCAGGAGCUGUGUAGACACGUUCAAUAUGAACUACCUGGAAAGUUAACCUCCUUUCCCAACAUAGAUCUACAACCUGAUUUUUAUUUUCUACUUUUGUUAUUUUGCCGUAAAUCCUACUAGUUGACAGUUGAGAUUUUAAGCUUUGUGGCUGAAAAUAUAGAU